Molecule: ribosomal RNA, 508 nt
Filed under: uncultured bacterium
Lineage: Bacteria
Description: partial 16S ribosomal RNA
Rfam family: Bacterial small subunit ribosomal RNA
Source: RNAcentral
GAUGAACGCUAGCGGCAGGCUUAAUACACGCAAGUCGAGGGGCAGCAGGUCCCGCAGCAAUGCGGGAUGCUGGCGACCGGCAAACGUGUGCGGAACACGUACAGAACCUUCCUUUAAGUGGGGAAUAGCCCGGGGAAACCCGGAUUAAUACCCCGUAACAUAAUGAAGUGGCAUCACUCUAUUAUUAUAGCAGCAAUGCGCUUGAAGAUGGCUGUGCGGCUGAUUAGGUAGUUGGCGGGGUAACGGCCCACCAAGCCUACGAUCAGUAACUGGUGUGAGAGCACGACCAGUCACACGGGCACUGAGACACGGGCCCGACUCCUACGGGAGGCAGCAGUAAGGAAUAUUGGGCAAUGGACGCAAGUCUGACCCAGCCAUGCCGCGUGGAGGAUGAAGGUCCUCUGGAUUGUAAACUUCUUUUAUCUGGGAAGAAAUCUAUUUUUUCUAAAGUAGUUGACGGUACUAGAUGAAUAAGCACCGGCUAACUCCGUGCCAGCCGCCGCCGUAA